UGACCCCAGGUCAGGCGGGAUUACCC
RNAcentral lists this ribosomal RNA (26 nucleotides) under Apinagia richardiana. RNAcentral's name for it is "partial 26S ribosomal RNA". The record is from RNAcentral. Lineage: Eukaryota; Viridiplantae; Streptophyta; Magnoliopsida; Malpighiales; Podostemaceae.